This 494-nucleotide ribosomal RNA is filed under the name uncultured bacterium. Its description in RNAcentral is "partial 16S ribosomal RNA". It matches the Rfam family "Bacterial small subunit ribosomal RNA", at positions 30 to 507 of the family's 1533-position model. The record is from RNAcentral.
AUUGAACGCUGGCGGCAUGCUUUACACAUGCAAGUCGAACGGCAGCGGGGAGGAGCUUGCUUCUCUGCCGGCGAGUGGCGAACGGGUGAGUAAUACAUCGGAACGUGUCGAGAAUAGGGUGAUAACCACCCGAAAGGGUUGCUAAUACCUCAUAAAUUCUGAGGAAGAAAGCUGGGUACCUAGGAAUAGCGCUAGCGCUUGUUCAGCGGCCGAUGUCGGAUUAGCUAGUUGGUGAGGUAAAGGCUCACCAAGGCGAAGAUCUGUAGCGGGUCUGAGAGGAUGAUCCGCCACACUGGGACUGAGAUACGGCCCAGACUCCUACGGGAGGCAGCAGUGGGGAAUUUUGGACAGUGGGGGCAAACCUGAUCCAGCCAUGCCGAGUGUAUGAAGAAGGCCUUAGGGUUGUAAAGUACUUUUGUUAGGGAAGAAACGCCAGCUGUGAAUAAUGGCUGAUACUGACGGUACCUAAAGAAUAAGCACCGGCUAACUACGUG